RNAcentral lists this ribosomal RNA (1347 nucleotides) under uncultured bacterium. RNAcentral describes it as "partial 16S ribosomal RNA". It matches the Rfam family "Bacterial small subunit ribosomal RNA", at positions 28 to 1381 of the family's 1533-position model. The record is from RNAcentral.
GACGAACGUUGGCGGCGUGCUUAACACAUGCAAGUCGAACGGAAAGGCCCUGCUUUUGUGGGGUGCUCGAGUGGCGAACGGGUGAGUAACACGUGAGUAACCUGCCCUUGACUUUGGGAUAACUUCAGGAAACUGGGGCUAAUACCGGAUAGGAGCUCCUGCUGCAUGGUGGGGGUUGGAAAGUUUCGGCGGUUGGGGAUGGACUCGCGGCUUAUCAGCUUGUUGGUGGGGUAGUGGCUUACCAAGGCUUUGACGGGUAGCCGGCCUGAGAGGGUGACCGGCCACAUUGGGACUGAGAUACGGCCCAGACUCCUACGGGAGGCAGCAGUGGGGAAUAUUGCACAAUGGGCGGAAGCCUGAUGCAGCAACGCCGCGUGCGGGAUGACGGCCUUCGGGUUGUAAACCGCUUUCGCCUGUGACGAAGCGUGAGUGACGGUAAUGGGUAAAGAAGCACCGGCUAACUACGUGCCAGCAGCCGCGGUGAUACGUAGGGUGCGAGCGUUGUCCGGAUUUAUUGGGCGUAAAGGGCUCGUAGGUGGUUGAUCGCGUCGGAAGUGUAAUCUUGGGGCUUAACCCUGAGCGUGCUUUCGAUACGGGUUGACUUGAGGAAGGUAGGGGAGAAUGGAAUUCCUGGUGGAGCGGUGGAAAUGCGCAGAUUUCAGGAGGAACACCAGUGGCGAAGGCGGUUCUCUGGGCCUUUCCUGACGCUGAGGAGCGAAAGCGUGGGGAGCGAACAGGCUUAGAUACCCUGGUAGUCCACGCUGUAAACGGUGGGUACUAGGUGUGGGGUCCAUUCCACGGGUUCCGCGCCGUAGCUAACGCUUUAAGUACCCCGCCUGGGGAGUACGGCCGCAAGGCUAAAACUCAAAGGAAUUGACGGGGCCCCGCACAAGCGGCGGAGCAUGCGGAUUAAUUCGAUGCAACGCGUAGAACCUUACCUGGGUUUGACAUGGAUCGGGAGUGCUCAGAGAUGGGUGUGCCUCUUUUGGGGUCGGUUCACAGGUGGUGCAUGGCUGUCGUCAGCUCGUGUCGUGAGAUGUUGGGUUAAGUCCCGCAACGAGCGCAACCCUUGUUCACUGUUGCCAGCACGUUAUGGUGGGGACUCAGUGGAGACCGCCGGGGUCAACUCGGAGGAAGGUGGGGAUGACGUCAAGUCAUCAUGCCCCUUAUGUCCAGGGCUUCACGCAUGCUACAAUGGCUGGUACAGAGAGUGGCGAGCCUGUGAGGGUGAGCGAAUCUCGGAAAGCCGGUCUCAGCUCGGAUUGGGGUCUGCAACUCGACCUCAUGAAGUCGGAGUCGCUAGUAAUCGCAGAUCAGCAACGCUGCGGUGAAUACGUUCCCGGGGCU